UAGUCAUAUGCUUGUCUCAGAGAUUAAGCCAUGCAUGUCUAAGUAUAAGCAAUCUUAUACAGCGAAACUGCGAAUGGCUCAUUAAAUCAGUUAUAGUCUACUUGAUCGUAUCUUCUUACAUGGAUAACCGUAGUAAAUCUAGAGCUAAUACAUGCUAAAAAUUCUGGACGCGGCAACGCGGAAGGGACGAGUUUAUUAGAUUAAAAACCGACACCUCUCCGCGAGGGGAGGUAGCACAGGUGAUUCACAGUAACCGAUCGGAUCGUCGGCCCCGCCGACGACGAUGCAUACGAGUUUCUGCCCUAUCAACUUUAGAUGGUAGAGUAUCGGUCUACCAUGGUCGUAACGGGUGACGGGGGAUUAGGGUUCGAUUCCGGAGAGGGAGCCUGAGAAACGGCUACCACUUCCAAGGAAGGCAGCAGGCGCGCAAAUUACCCAAUCCCGACACGGGGAGGUAGUGACAAGGAAUACCAUUGUAAUGUCUCCUCGAGAGGCUUACGAUUGGAAUGGGUACAAUUUAAAUCCCUUAACGAGUAACGAUU
Molecule: ribosomal RNA, 542 nt
Filed under: uncultured eukaryote
Lineage: Eukaryota
Description: SSU rRNA
Rfam family: Eukaryotic small subunit ribosomal RNA
Source: RNAcentral